This 771-nucleotide unclassified non-coding RNA is filed under the name Hevea brasiliensis (rubber tree). Lineage: Eukaryota; Viridiplantae; Streptophyta; Magnoliopsida; Malpighiales; Euphorbiaceae. The record is from RNAcentral.
ACAAUAAGUCAAUAAGGGCUCAUACUCAUGCCAAUAUUGAGUUGGCCAAUGUACAACAUAAGAUUUCAAACUCUCUCCAUCAAUCCUUUUUGCCAAGUAUUGAUUUAGUUGUUCUUGUAAAUUAGACGGAAAUGCUUCUAGAGCCAACGAAAUCGGCCGCUCUGCUUCGGCACAUCUCUUCCUCAAAUUCUUUACUAUCUCCAGCUCCACUUCUUUAUCAUCUUGAGUUGGAACUUGCUCGGCUUCGCCUAAAUACACGACCCGAGCAUUCAUAAGCUUCUCCCAUACUUUCUUCUUGUCCUUCCCCAAAGCCAAAGGCUCUCCAAUUACCGUCGCAUCAUAAAUCCUCGAAUUAAUCACUUCCUCCGCCUUAACCACCGGAUCAGGCGUCGGGGCCUCCACUGUAGUCACCGGAGGUUGCGGUGUACUCUCAGGCGGUGGUUUGUCGUCCGCUCUAGCAAUUGCGGAACGGAGAGCACAAACUCCGAUGGUAAGAAGAGGCAUGAGGAGUACAUUACGCCUAGUAGUCGAGGAUUUUUGCUUCGGAAUCAGCUCGUCGGAGUUAUCGAUGGCGUCGGUGGGCGACUGAGAACAACGAACUGAAAAGCUGACGUGGCUAUGCUCGUGAACCAAGCAGCGGGGGAAAUUGAGUCUUCUUCUGAUUAAAAACUUUCGCCGGAGAAGAGUUGCCGGUGGAACAUAUAAGUGCACUGAUUUGGAAGAGAUAGUACGGCCAGAGUUGGCCUUCAUUUUCCAGCUGAAGGCUUUAAG